RNAcentral lists this transfer RNA (24 nucleotides) under Anthreptes orientalis (Kenya violet-backed sunbird). Its description in RNAcentral is "tRNA-Arg". Lineage: Eukaryota; Metazoa; Chordata; Aves; Passeriformes; Nectariniidae. The record is from RNAcentral.
UACAAAGUUAGUCUAACCAAGACA